This 508-nucleotide ribosomal RNA is filed under the name Filobasidium stepposum. Its description in RNAcentral is "partial large subunit ribosomal RNA". It matches the Rfam family "Eukaryotic large subunit ribosomal RNA", at positions 161 to 657 of the family's 3401-position model. Lineage: Eukaryota; Fungi; Basidiomycota; Tremellomycetes; Filobasidiales; Filobasidiaceae. The record is from RNAcentral.
UUUUCCGUGCUGGCUCAUGUACAAGUCCCUUGGAACAGGGCGUCAUAGAGGGUGAGAAUCCCGUCCUUGACAUGAACUACCAGUGCUCUGUGAUACAUUUUCAACGAGUCGAGUUGUUUGGGAAUGCAGCUCAAAAUGGGUGGUAAAUUCCAUCUAAAGCUAAAUAUUGGCGAGAGACCGAUAGCGAACAAGUACCGUGAGGGAAAGAUGAAAAGCACUUUGGAAAGAGAGUUAAACAGUAUGUGAAAUUGUUAAAAGGGAAACGAUUGAAGUCAGUCGUGCUCUUUGGAUUCAGCCGGUUCUGCCGGUGUACUUCCUUUGAGUGGGGUCAACAUCAGUUUUGAUCGCUGGAUAAAGGCUGGAGGAACGUAGCACCCCCGGGUGAACUUAUAGCCUCCUGUCACAUACAGUGGUUGGGACUGAGGAACGCAGCACGCCUUUAUGGCCAGGAUCCGUCCAUGUACGUGCUUAGGAUGUUGACAUAAUGGCUUUAAACGACCCGUCUUGA